GGAAUCUUGCGCAAUGGGCGAAAGCCUGACGCAGCGACGCCGCGUGGGGGAUGAAGCUUUUCGGAGUGUAAACCCCUUUCGACCCGGACGAAACGCCCGCAAGGGCUUGACGGUACGGGUAUAAGAAGCACCGGCUACCUCCGUGCCAGCAGCCGCGGUAAUACGGAGGGUGCAAGCGUUAAUCGGAAUUACUGGGCGUAAAGCGCGCGUAGGUGGUUUGAUAAGCGAGAUGUGAAAGCCCCGGGCUUAACCUGGGAACGGCAUUUCGAACUGUCAGGCUAGAGUAUGGUAGAGGAGUGUGGAAUUUCCUGUGUAGCGGUGAAAUGCGUAGAUAUAGGAAGGAACACCAGUGGCGAAGGCGGCACUCUGGACCAAUACUGACACUGAGGUGCGAAAGCGUGGGGAGCA
Molecule: ribosomal RNA, 408 nt
Filed under: uncultured bacterium
Lineage: Bacteria
Description: bacterial SSU rRNA
Rfam family: Bacterial small subunit ribosomal RNA
Source: RNAcentral